This 208-nucleotide long non-coding RNA is filed under the name Dromaius novaehollandiae (emu). Its description in RNAcentral is "lncRNA (ENSDNVG00000009594.1)". Lineage: Eukaryota; Metazoa; Chordata; Aves; Casuariiformes; Dromaiidae. The record is from RNAcentral.
CCAAAAUCUAUAAGAAGAUAAAAUAGGACAUUCCUUAAAGUUCUUUCCGUUGCUCCCACCUGCUAUACUGAUGGCAAAUAUAUAAAAGAAAAGUUCCUAUAGAAGUAGAAGUUCCUGAAAAAAGUAGCAGCUAAUCCAUUUUAGUCUUCUGCUUUCUGACCAGCUGGCUCAAGGAGGCCACUUAUGUGAUGCCUCCAAUGAAAGUGAA